RNAcentral lists this ribosomal RNA (624 nucleotides) under Oscillatoria limosa. Its description in RNAcentral is "bacterial SSU rRNA". It matches the Rfam family "Bacterial small subunit ribosomal RNA", at positions 115 to 773 of the family's 1533-position model. Lineage: Bacteria; Bacillati; Cyanobacteriota; Cyanophyceae; Oscillatoriales; Oscillatoriaceae. The record is from RNAcentral.
GCGUGAGAAUCUGCCUUCAGGUCUGGGACAACAGUUGGAAACGUCUGCUAAUACCGGAUAUGCCUACGGGUGAAAGAUUAUUUGCCUGAAGAUGAGCUCGCGUCUGAUUAGCUAGUUGGUAAGGUAAAAGCUCACCAAGGCGACGAUCAGUAGCUGGUCUGAGAGGAUGACCAGCCACACUGGGACUGAGACACGGCCCAGACUCCUACGGGAGGCAGCAGUGGGGAAUUUUCCGCAAUGGGCGAAAGCCUGACGGAGCAAGACCGCGUGGGGGAGGAAGGCUUUUGGGUUGUAAACCUCUUUUCUUAGGGAAGAAGUACUGACGGUACCUGAGGAAUCAGCCUCGGCUAACUCCGUGCCAGCAGCCGCGGUAAUACGGAGGAUGCAAGCGUUAUCCGGAAUUAUUGGGCGUAAAGCGUCCGCAGGUGGCCUUGUAAGUCUGCUGUCAAAGCCCAGGGCUUAACUCCGGUUAGGCAGUGGAAACUACAAAGCUAGAGUAUGGUAGGGGCCAAGGGAAUUCCCGGUGUAGCGGUGAAAUGCGUAGAGAUCGGGAAGAACAUCGGUGGCGAAAGCGCUCGGCUGGACCAGAACUGACACUCAGGGACGAAAGCUAGGGGAGCGAAU